Molecule: long non-coding RNA, 1261 nt
Organism: Centruroides sculpturatus (bark scorpion)
Lineage: Eukaryota; Metazoa; Arthropoda; Arachnida; Scorpiones; Buthidae
Exons: 6
Source: RefSeq, a predicted model, not a curated record
GCUUGCGGGACUGCGUCGAAUCGUCUCCAUUCGCUAUUGGUUAACGCUGGCGUCCCUCCAGGCGGCGCUCUAUGACGAUGCCAAACCAACUCUACUCCCGCGAUACUGAAACAAGGAGCAAUGCCUAUUCACUCUUUUAUUAAACUUACCUUCCCGGACUCUAAACCUCUUCUUUCAUAUUCCCGAUACCAUACAAAAUAUUUUGUCUUCACUUAACAUAAACAAGAAUCAUUCGAGUCUGCAUUUAAAGCAAGUAAUGAGACUGUAAUUAGAACACACUUUCUGAAAGAUGGAUUAGAUGUUAAAAAUUGGAAAAUGUCUGCAUCAGACUGCAGAUGGCAACAGUAUUGGAAUUUCCUGUUGGCUGUUUCCUGGGGCUCAGUUCUGCCAUGUUUGUCUCGUGUUUGUUGAGUAAUGCAGUACUGUCAAUCUGAUGUUCAAAAGUAAACUGUUCCUGUAAACAUUAUCAAUGUUAUAAUUGUGUUUAAUUUUGAUGUUCACAAAAUAUACUCCUCCCUAUUUUAAAUACAGAAUCUAUCUUCUUUCCUGAAUGCAUCACUAAUAACUGUUGAGCUCCUAUAUAUAUCAGGUCAACAACAGUGAUACAGCAAUAUUAAAUGGAUUUAUCAGAAAACCUAACAAAAUAUGUGUAUAACCAUUAGGAAAGGCAUUUUGUACCAGAAUAAGGUUGCAUCAACAUAGUUCAUCAAACUUUUUCAUCAUAUUUUGUAAACGUUUAAAGUAUUGAUAUAUAUAUCACCAAAUAAAAUUAAUUUUUUGUCCCACUUAUCUAAUUAAAUACUCAGAAUAAUUUACAGAUUUAUUAUAUUAGUAUCAUAUUUUGAAGAAGUAUUUAAUAUUGGGAAUGUGGAAAAUAAGGCCAGGAAGUGGAAGCCAGUUGUUAUAAAUGUUAAAAACCGAAGGAAUUGCGGCAAAUAUUUGACAAUAAAGAUGCAGUUAGUCAGAUUAGAGGCAACUAAAAGGUUCAACUGUCAUCAAAUAUACAUAGAUAAGACACUUAAAGAAAGGGUCACAGAGUACUGCUGAAAAAAAUUGCUGAAAUCUUAACACAACAGCAAUAGCUCAUGAGAAAUUUUGAACUUGAAAGUUGAAUUUAGAUAACAAGAAGUACUUUUCUUGUUAUCUAAAUUGAUUACAGAAAAUGAAACUUACUAUGUGAGCAAUGAAAAUCAAGCAUCUCCCAAAGUAAAGUACAAAUUUCUUCUUAAAUUUGAAGCAAAAGUCAUGCUGUGUAUUAGUU